Non-coding RNA from Bacillus glycinifermentans, 74 nucleotides. NCBI's taxonomy places the organism in Bacteria, Bacillati, Bacillota, Bacilli, Caryophanales, Bacillaceae. The record is from Rfam.
GUCCCAGUAGCUCAGGUGGAUAGAGCAACAGCCUCCUAAGCUGUGUGUCGGGAGUUCGAAUCUCUCCUGGGACG